Molecule: ribosomal RNA, 238 nt
Filed under: uncultured bacterium
Lineage: Bacteria
Description: partial 16S ribosomal RNA
Rfam family: Bacterial small subunit ribosomal RNA
Source: RNAcentral
CGGCACGGGUGAGUAACACGUAUCCAACCUGCCGUCUACUCUUGGCCAGCCUUCUGAAAGGAAGAUUAAUCCAGGAUGGCAUCAUGAGUUCACAUGUCCGCAUGAUUAAAGGUAUUUUCCGGUAGACGAUGGGGAUGCGUUCCAUUAGAUAGUAGGCGGGGUAACGGCCCGCCUAGUCAACGAUGGAUAGGGGUUCUGAGAGGAAGGUCCCCCACAUUGGAACUGAGACACGGUCCAA